UAAUUGAAGAGUUUGAUCAUGGCUCAGAUUGAACGCUGGCGGCAGGCCUAACACAUGCAAGUCGAGCGGUAACAGGGGAAGCUUGCUUCUCGCUGACGAGCGGCGGACGGGUGAGUAAUGUAUGGGGAUCUGCCCGAUAGAGGGGGAUAACUACUGGAAACGGUAGCUAAUACCGCAUAAUCUCUCAGGAGCAAA
Molecule: ribosomal RNA, 195 nt
Filed under: Providencia rettgeri
Lineage: Bacteria; Pseudomonadati; Pseudomonadota; Gammaproteobacteria; Enterobacterales; Morganellaceae
Description: partial 16S ribosomal RNA
Rfam family: Bacterial small subunit ribosomal RNA
Source: RNAcentral